This 465-nucleotide ribosomal RNA is filed under the name Vreelandella stevensii. RNAcentral describes it as "partial 16S ribosomal RNA". It matches the Rfam family "Bacterial small subunit ribosomal RNA", at positions 338 to 795 of the family's 1533-position model. The record is from RNAcentral. Lineage: Bacteria; Pseudomonadati; Pseudomonadota; Gammaproteobacteria; Oceanospirillales; Halomonadaceae.
CCUACGGGAGGCAGCAGUGGGGAAUAUUGGACAAUGGGGGGAACCCUGAUCCAGCCAUGCCGCGUGUGUGAAGAAGGCCCUCGGAUUGUAAAGCACUUUCAGUGAGGAAGAACGCCUGGUGGUUAAUACCCAUCAGGAAAGACAUCACUCACAGAAGAAGCACCGGCUAACUCCGUGCCAGCAGCCGCGGUAAUACGGAGGGUGCGAGCGUUAAUCGGAAUUACUGGGCGUAAAGCGCGCGUAGGUGGCUUGAUAAGCCGGUUGUGAAAGCCCCGGGCUCAACCUGGGAACGGCAUCCGGAACUGUCAAGCUAGAGUGCAGGAGAGGAAGGUAGAAUUCCCGGUGUAGCGGUGAAAUGCGUAGAGAUCGGGAGGAAUACCAGUGGCGAAGGCGGCCUUCUGGACUGACACUGACACUGAGGUGCGAAAGCGUGGGUAGCAAACAGGAUUAGAUACCCUAGUAGUC